GCCACCAGACUAAAGGACGUUCAAAGAAAGACGGGUGCCCCUGAAGCACCAGGAUGGAGUCAGCCCCGUGAGACACCCACUAAGCAGUUGUGAACUCCUAGAUGACCCAACCGAUGAUGGAAAUGUUCUAAAAGUGGAUUUUAGUGAUGGUUGUGCAACCCAGUAAAUUUACUACAAAUCACUGAAUUCAUUCUUCAAGCAAGUUAAUUUCAUGGAAUACAAAUCCUAUCUCAAUAAAGAUGGUUUUUAAAAAACCUGUGUGAUGAA
Bubalus bubalis (water buffalo) is the source of this 267-nucleotide long non-coding RNA. RefSeq lists it as uncharacterized. NCBI's taxonomy places the organism in Eukaryota, Metazoa, Chordata, Mammalia, Artiodactyla, Bovidae. The transcript is spliced from 2 exons. The record is from RefSeq and is a predicted model, not a curated record.